CAACCCUCAAGCCCCCGGGCUUGGUGUUGGGGAUCGGCCGCCCUCCGGCGCGCCGGCCCCGAAAUCUAGUGGCGGUCUCGCUGUAGCUUCCUCUGCGUAGUAGCACACCUCGCACCGGAACGCAGCCUGGCCACGCCGUUAAACCCCCCACUUCUGAA
RNAcentral lists this unclassified non-coding RNA (158 nucleotides) under uncultured Nectriaceae. Its description in RNAcentral is "sequence contains ITS2". Lineage: Eukaryota; Fungi; Ascomycota; Sordariomycetes; Hypocreales; Nectriaceae. The record is from RNAcentral.